Molecule: ribosomal RNA, 292 nt
Filed under: uncultured bacterium
Lineage: Bacteria
Description: partial 16S ribosomal RNA
Rfam family: Bacterial small subunit ribosomal RNA
Source: RNAcentral
GUGCCAGCCGCCGCGGUAAUACGGAGGGUGCAAGCGUUAUCCGGAUUCACUGGGUUUAAAGGGUGCGUAGGCGGGUGUGUAAGUCCGUGGUGAAAUCUCCGAGCUUAACUCGGAAACUGCCAUGGGUACUGCAUGUCUUGAAUGUUGUGGAGGUGAGCGGAAUAUGUCAUGUAGCGGUGAAAUGCUUAGAUAUGACAUAGAACACCAAUUGCGAAGGCAGCUCACUACACAAAUAUUGACGCUGAGGCACGAAAGCGUGGGGAUCAAACAGGAUUAGAUACCCCUGUAGUCC